This 665-nucleotide ribosomal RNA is filed under the name Chryseobacterium sp. RS38. RNAcentral describes it as "bacterial SSU rRNA". It matches the Rfam family "Bacterial small subunit ribosomal RNA", at positions 61 to 727 of the family's 1533-position model. The record is from RNAcentral. Lineage: Bacteria; Pseudomonadati; Bacteroidota; Flavobacteriia; Flavobacteriales; Weeksellaceae.
GCCGAGCGGUAGAGUUUCUUCGGAAACUUGAGAGCGGCGCACGGGUGCGGAACACGUGUGCAACCUGCCUUUAUCUGGGGGAUAGCCUUUCGAAAGGAAGAUUAAUACCCCAUAAUAUACUGAAUGGCAUCAUUUGGUAUUGAAAACUCCGGUGGAUAGAGAUGGGCACGCGCAAGAUUAGAUAGUUGGUGAGGUAACGGCUCACCAAGUCUGCGAUCUUUAGGGGGCCUGAGAGGGUGAUCCCCCACACUGGUACUGAGACACGGACCAGACUCCUACGGGAGGCAGCAGUGAGGAAUAUUGGACAAUGGGUGAGAGCCUGAUCCAGCCAUCCCGCGUGAAGGACGACGGCCCUAUGGGUUGUAAACUUCUUUUGUAUAGGGAUAAACCUACUCUCGUGAGAGUAGCUGAAGGUACUAUACGAAUAAGCACCGGCUAACUCCGUGCCAGCAGCCGCGGUAAUACGGAGGGUGCAAGCGUUAUCCGGAUUUAUUGGGUUUAAAGGGUCCGUAGCGGAUCUGUAAGUCAGUGGUGAAAUCUCACAGCUUAACUGUGAAACUGCCAUUGAUACUGCAGGUCUUGAGUGUUAUUGAAGUAGCUGGAAUAAGUAGUGUAGCGGUGAAAUGCAUAGAUAUUACUUAGAACACCAAUUGCGAAAGCAGGUU